UCUCGAUUGGUCUAGUGGUCAGGAUACCUGCUUGUCAUCGCACAAGUUCGCAGGUGGCCGGGGUUCGAUUCCCCGAUCGAGAG
RNAcentral lists this transfer RNA (83 nucleotides) under Daldinia eschscholtzii. Its description in RNAcentral is "tRNA-Asp". It matches the Rfam family "tRNA". From Rfam's summary of the family: Transfer RNA (tRNA) molecules are approximately 80 nucleotides in length. Their secondary structure includes four short double-helical elements and three loops (D, anti-codon, and T loops). Further hydrogen bonds mediate the characteristic L-shaped molecular structure. tRNAs have two regions of fundamental functional importance: the anti-codon, which is responsible for specific mRNA codon recognition, and the 3' end, to which the tRNAs corresponding amino acid is attached (by aminoacyl-tRNA synthetases). tRNAs cope with the degeneracy of the genetic code in two manners: having more than one tRNA (with a specific anti-codon) for a particular amino acid; and 'wobble' base-pairing, i.e. permitting non-standard base-pairing at the 3rd anti-codon position. The record is from RNAcentral. RNAcentral also lists the same sequence under 1 other name. Lineage: Eukaryota; Fungi; Ascomycota; Sordariomycetes; Xylariales; Hypoxylaceae.